Molecule: small nuclear RNA, 108 nt
Organism: Varanus komodoensis (Komodo dragon)
Lineage: Eukaryota; Metazoa; Chordata; Lepidosauria; Squamata; Varanidae
Source: Ensembl
UUGCACACAUUUGGCAGCACAUACACUAAAACUGGAACAUUAAAAAGAAGAUUAGCAUGGCCCCUGUGCACAGAUGACAUGCAAAUUUGUGGAUUAUUCCAUAUUUUU